RNAcentral lists this ribosomal RNA (431 nucleotides) under uncultured bacterium. Its description in RNAcentral is "partial 16S ribosomal RNA". It matches the Rfam family "Bacterial small subunit ribosomal RNA", at positions 29 to 507 of the family's 1533-position model. The record is from RNAcentral.
AACGAACGCUGGCGGCAGGCUUAACACAUGCAAGUCGAGCGCCCCGCCAGGGGAGCGGCAGACGGGUGAGUAACGCGUGGGAACGUACCUUUUGGUUCGGAACAACUCCGGGAAACUGGAGCUAAUACCGGAUAAGCCCUAACGGGGAAAGAUUUAUCGCCGAAAGAUCGGCCCGCGUCUGAUUAGCUAGUUGGUGAGGUAACGGCUCACCAAGGCGACGAUCAGUAGCUGGUCUGAGAGGAUGUUCAGCCACACUGGGACUGAGACACGGCCCAGACUCCUACGGGAGGCAGCAGUGGGGAAUAGUGGACAAUGGGCGCAAGCCUGAUCCAGCCAUGCCGCGUGAGUGAUGAAGGCCUUAGGGUUGUAAAGCUCUUUUGUCCGGGAAGAUAAUGACUGUACCGGAAGAAUAAGCCCCGGCUAACUUCGUG